This 384-nucleotide long non-coding RNA is filed under the name Lactuca sativa (garden lettuce). RNAcentral describes it as "long non-coding RNA (LSAT_LNC003135)". Lineage: Eukaryota; Viridiplantae; Streptophyta; Magnoliopsida; Asterales; Asteraceae. The record is from RNAcentral.
GUUCUUAUGUGAUUAUGGUGUUGAAACUAGUCAAAAAGUCCUUAAAAUCGAGAUUUGCAUUAGGAUGUAUGAAACAAGUGUUAAACAUAUUAUAACACACAAAUCAUUUCUAGAAAUAUGACCAAAUGAAACAAGUGUUAAACAUAUUAUUACACACAAAUCAUUUCUAGAAAAAUAACCAAGUUAGUUAAUAUGAACUCAUUGGGCUAACAAUCCCAUUUUUGGACUCAAAAUGUUGAAAAUAUAAGGUUAAAGGGCCCAAAAUGACAAAAUACAAAUUCUGAUGGAUGAAAUGAGUCAAAACAGUUUCAAUAAGGUAUUUUUCUGGAAAUAUUCUCUUUGAAGGAUUAAAUGUGAAAUUUUUAAGCAUAAUGGGCCAAAAAU